UAGACGACGUUGAAGAGCAGCGGGUCACCGCGUCUCGCUGCACCUGCUUAGUCGCCUGGCAGCCCUGCGAGUGCCUGUGCGUGCACCUUAAGUAUGCCCUGCAAAACCAAAAUUAGUCAGGUACACAGUUCAUUAUUUUGGACUCGUAUCAAUCCUUCUGUCAUGCUCUUGUGUCAACUAAACACAAUUCAUUGUUUCAGAUCAGGAUCACAGGCAUGGCUGUGAAUUGUGACCUUGGGUAUUUGGCGCCGAGGAUGUCCUUCUGGCCGUACUUGCGCCAGGAGAGGCCGUCGUCGAGCGGUGCCAGGUCGUGCACCGAGCUCACCCUCACCUGCCGCCUCACCUUCUCCAUCGCCCCCCUCUUCCUCCUGAGCUUGCCGCCAAUGGCGCCGCCGCCACGUGGGGUGCCAGUGCCUGCGAGGCGGACGGCGUUGUCGACGGAGGCGGCCAGCGCGGCGCAGAGGUCCCUGGCGGUGGCCGGCGAGCCCCGCUCCACGCGCACCUCCAGCUCCCUCGCCAUCUCCAGCAACCUGUCCAGCUCCGUCGCCAGCCCUCCUCGCCUUCGUCGGCGCCACCAGUACGCGUCCUCCUCCCGCCCCCAGCCCCCCGGCUUCUUCCUCUUCUUCUCUCGUUUCACUUGUAUGUCAAUCUGGUUGUGGUUGGAACUUGGGAGGGCCGAGGGCAACAAUAGCUGUAUGUUUAGGGCUGAUUGUGAGUAGUGUGGUACUGAAGCGCAGGAAUACAGCUGCAAAAGUGACGGUGAUGACUGAUGCAAGAUUUUGCGUUGCAACAUUGAUGUAGCAGCAGCGUUUUUAGAAACAACUUUUGUUGAAAUGGUUGGAGAUGUGAAUGAUGCACUCCUGGGUAAUUUACUGGUUUUCAGAAAGCCUAUCCUUUGCUUGCUAGUACUCCUAUUAGAAAUGAUGCUGUGAAUGGAAGUUAAUAUAGUUUUCAUGGUGAGGAAUUGUCUCGAGUAAUUAGAUGAAUGGUAUGGUUGGACAAGUUGAAACAAUGCCACACAAAUUAUGUGUCUGUCAGAUCUGUUUGAACAAAACAAGACCUCGGCCAUCAAGCCACAUGCAAAAUGUGUUUCUUAGAUGUUCUACAUAACAUUGCAAUUUGCAUUUGUGCAAGUGAUAAUUUUCUCACAUGCCUAAAUAGAAUUAAACACGCAAUGCUCAUAUACUUGUCCAGUGUUCAGGGAGGACCACUAUAUCGUUUUUUUACAUACUUUACGCUUGGACCGCUAUUUGGUUUCUCGCUAUUUAGCUAUUACUCCCUCCGUUUCAUAAUUUUUGUCUCAAAUUUGUUCAAAAAUGGAUGUAUUUAUUUCUAAAAAGUGUCUAGAUACAUGUAAGAUUUCGACAAGAAUUAUGGGACGGAGGGAGUACUAGCUAGCAGAAAAUUAUCUCUCAAGUUAUUAAUUCUUUCCCUGUUGUUUCAUGCACAUUGCACCGCCCUUUUAUCUACCUGCUGGGAUAUAUGGUAUUUGCAUCAUAAGUUUCCAGUGAAUCCUACAUAUCUAUAUCUUUGCAAUAGUUAUUUACCGAUACGCUGCUAUCCUUUUGCAGCAAAAGUUCACUACGGAACCUCGCUGUCUAAUGUCGAUCUGCUGCACGGGACUGCGGAACCGUUGCUCACCCUCACCAACUUAUUCAUCGUGCUCGGGCUGAGGGGGCCCUUUAGAAACUUGAAGGAGACAGAGCAGUGCAAUUCUGAAGCUUCUGAGGACAGCAAGGAAAAAAGUUGUGUCUAGAUAGAUCUAUGCUCUUGUCAGUUCCCCAAAUUCUCGAGAAAUCCUUUUGGUGUCUAUAAUGGUGACAUCAUAAGGAGUGUACAUUACUACAAUUUCUUUUGCUCAACUAAUCUCAGUUCCCCAAACAUCUAAGUAAAGGCAACCCACUGCCUGAUUUUCCUGACUUCUCGUGAAGCCACCUCACCCCCUGUUCCUGCGGCCUGUUCCUUCCGUUCCGUUGCCUCCGUUCGCCCCGAUCCCGUUCCCGUUCACGUCUCCAACAUGAACAUGGGCUUCGUCUGGGCCUUUGUAGCCCAACGGAAGGGGGAAACAGCCUCCAGGUUCCACGGGUGCACGAGAUCAUCUGAGGGCAAAAAAAAAAAAAAAAAAAAAAACGAGGUCAUCUUCCUCCCCGGAUUCUGCUCCCUCCAGCUCCACGUUGUUUUUCACCGUUCGUCUUCACCAUUAUUACUGCUACCCUUCCUCUUCGUCUCCUCCAAAAAGAGUAACCGGCGAAAGAAUUAUGUACGGAGUAGCUCCAGUUUUUCUCGCUUUAAUAGGCUCCGUUGGGAAACUCUCCACAUUCUGCAGAUCCUCAAAUGCACCUCCCGAAGCCGCAUUCCUCGGUCUAACCCCCCCAGGCCAAACUGGGUCUCCCGUCCAUCACCGGCAGCACCGCAUGGCUCGAAAUCCAUACGAGCUCCUCGCCAUGGCGUUGAGAUGGAAGGCGACGCGAGCAGCGUCAAGAGGCAGAUGCUAGGGAGGGGAUACCACGGUAGGGAGGGCAAAGGGGCGAGCGACGAUUCAUGUUCUGCUGCUACUACGCUUGCUGGAUGGGAAGAAUCUGGAGAUGUCGCUGGCGCCCCGCUUCAGUUACCUCGCAGUACCAAGGUAGGCCAGAUUUUUUUCCCCUAAUCUCAAUCUGACGCUACUGUAUUACUGCUUUAUCGUCACACAUGUUAAUUAUUUUUCCUGUCUCUGCUCUUUAGUUGAUUGAGUUACAGAGGAUAAAAUAUGGCACAGAUCAGAAGUGAAUUUGCUGGAUCUAGAACCUGCAUUCAAUUAUCUCAUGUGUAAUGUGUUGCCAUUUUUCCCAGGUUGCUAAUUUAUACCACAAGUGAUUUUACUGAAUCCAACAACCAUCCAUGUCUCCAUUUACUGAAAUCAGAAACGACAAUAUUCAGGUCAGUUACCACAAAAGAGGGACCAUUUUUGUAUCGCAGCUUUCUAACAAAGACUAAUACUAUAUCUAUGCUGCUAUAGUUCAUUCAGAUCCAUGCAAUUGAUUUUGUUGAAACAAGCUUUCAUCAAUAUUUUUGUUAUUGCUUUACCGUUUCUUUGUGCAGAUUCUUUUCUAAAAUCUGUAGACAAGUUGUUUGAUGAACAUUGAAGCACUUCAGUGAUCUGACUUACUUGCUGCUAUUUUAAUCUGGCAUUUUUUUCUCAAGUCUGCUGCAUACGGCCAGCAAAGCGUGCUUGUACCGAACACACUACCAUGUGUCUUAUGCCCGUAGUUUUAUUCAUGCUAAACUAUGGUUACAUUUUUGGGAAGUGCACACACGGUCUGUCAAAAAUGGUGUAUUCUUUGGUGUGUACAACUACCUUUCAGGACUGUUAUAUAUUCAGAUGGUUCUGGUUGUUUGUUGUAGAUCUGGAGCAAUAACACUAAUUAUACAUAGUAGACUGAUUUGUAUGUAAGGUAUUGGUUAUCUCAUAAAGUUUAAUUUAGAUUUUGCCUUUCACUUUUGUUGUACAAGUGUUAUUGCAAGAGAAGUAAAUUAUUUUCUUUGGGCCUACUUCUAUCUUUGUAUGAUAUAUCAUGUUUAGUUAAACUAAUCUCAUGGUUUAUAGAUACAUUUAAAGUUAGGCAGGGUUUCUACAAGUUGCGUUGUGAGUGUGCUUGCAUGCCCAAGCAGUUAUGUUCCUUUCAAGGUUAAAUUAUGGUCCAUGAACCAUGUAUGUGAGAUGCUUCAUAACGGGAACAUAGCUUUAGACCAUCACAAUGUUGGUUCCUAACAGAGUUUAUUUUGUCGAUGUCGGUCCCACAUGAACAUAUGACUCUACCUUCAUUCUUGAUGUCAACUGGUGGAUAAUAAAAUAAUAAAAUGAUGUGCUUCAUUGUUCAUGUAGUUAGCAUGACCAAUUGUAUUCUUAUUGAAUCAGGACUUCUUUGUUGGAAAAAAUGUUAUGGAACAUUACAUCACAUGAAUGAUAUAAUACAGUCGUUUCAUCGAUUUGAAAAGCUUCCUACUUAGCUCUGCUUUUGUUUUCAUAAUUUGCAAACUGAAACAAUCUAGGAUUGUCAAAAGGUAUGCCGGUUACUCAAGGACAACCACAAUUUAUUUGUGUAAUUCGCAUGCAAGCUUCCUUCUUGGUACAUGUGCAAUAGUGGUUCGGAAGAAUCCUCUCAGAGUUCUCAUCAUUCUGAAGUGAUUGGCAUGCUAAUAUCCCGCGCGGGGUAUCAUCUAGUUUAUAAAGCCAGGUUACCAGAAUCUCCACAAUCUCUCCUCGUGCAUAUGCUGAUUCCAGAAUAUACUAGUGAUGGUACUGCUUUUGUAGUGAUACGAGAAUAGAGGUAACUGCUCAGAUUCAAAUUGUGCCUCCAGUGAUCGCCAAGUCUGAAACUCUGAACCUAAUACUAGUUCGAGUGUUCAGUACUACUCUUCAGUACGUUCACCAUACUGCAUUCUACUGCUUGAUCCCAACACCUACAGGUUCUGAAACCCUGGCUGCAAGAACUCUGACGGAUCCAGGAACAACAGCUCGUCGAGCUGAGCCUCGAACCCCAUGUCGAGCGGCCACUGCAUCCCACCGGCGCCAACCGGCAAGCCCUCAUCCUGCUGUUGCUGCUCCUGGCCGGCGGCAGCAGCAGCUGUUUGCCGCUGAUCGUGUCUCUGCAGGUGCUGCAAACCCUGGGCGCAGGUGUGGUCGCCGUGGUAGACGACGUCGAAGAUCAGCGGGUCGCCGGCGUCUCGCUGCACCUGCUUCGUCGCCUGGCAGCCCUGCGUGUUCCUGUGCGUGCACCGGAAGUAAGCCCUGCAGAACCCAAAAUUAAUUAAACACAGUUCAUUAUUCAAGAUCAGGAAUUCAGGAUCAGUAGGCAUGGCAUGGCUGUGAAUUGUGACUGACCUUGGGUAUUUGGCGCCGAGGAUGUCCUUCUGGCCGUACUUGCGCCAGGAGAGGCCGUCGUCGAGCGGUGCCAGGUCGUGCACCGAGCUCACCCUCACCUGCCGCCUCACCUUCUCCAUCGCGCCCCUCUUCCUCCCGGCCUUGCCGCUGGCGGCGGCAAUGGCGCCGCCUCC
Molecule: long non-coding RNA, 5037 nt
Filed under: Brachypodium distachyon (stiff brome)
Lineage: Eukaryota; Viridiplantae; Streptophyta; Magnoliopsida; Poales; Poaceae
Description: long non-coding RNA (BDIS_LNC001797)
Rfam family: MIR1120/MIR1122 microRNA precursor family (bases 1270-1394)
Source: RNAcentral